CAGCAGCCACGGUAAUACGGAGGGAGCUAGCGUUGUUCGGAAUUACUGGGCGUAAAGCGCGCGUAGGCGGUUACUCAAGUCAGAGGUGAAAGCCCGGGGCUCAACCCCGGAACUGCCUUUGAAACUAGGUGACUAGAAUCUUGGAGAGGUCAGUGGAAUUCCGAGUGUAGAGGUGAAAUUCGUAGAUAUUCGGAAGAACACCAGUGGCGAAGGCGACUGACUGGACAAGUAUUGACGCUGAGGUGCGAAAGCGUGGGGAGCAAACAGGAUUAGAUACCCCUGUAGUCCCUGUCUCUUAUAA
Molecule: ribosomal RNA, 301 nt
Filed under: uncultured bacterium
Lineage: Bacteria
Description: partial 16S ribosomal RNA
Rfam family: Bacterial small subunit ribosomal RNA
Source: RNAcentral